This 933-nucleotide ribosomal RNA is filed under the name Listeria monocytogenes. RNAcentral describes it as "bacterial LSU rRNA". It matches the Rfam family "Bacterial large subunit ribosomal RNA", at positions 387 to 1321 of the family's 2925-position model. Lineage: Bacteria; Bacillati; Bacillota; Bacilli; Caryophanales; Listeriaceae. The record is from RNAcentral.
GCUUUCCCUCCAGAGUGGAUCCUGAGUACGGCGGAACACGUGAAAUUCCGUCGGAAUCCGGGAGGACCAUCUCCCAAGGCUAAAUACUCCCUAGUGACCGAUAGUGAACCAGUACCGUGAGGGAAAGGUGAAAAGCACCCCGGAAGGGGAGUGAAACAGUUCCUGAAACCGUGUGCCUACAAGUAGUUAGAGCCCGUUAAUGGGUGAUAGCGUGCCUUUUGUAGAAUGAACCGGCGAGUUACGAUUUGUUGCAAGGUUAAGCGGAAAAAGCGGAGCCGUAGCGAAAGCGAGUCUGAAUAGGGCGCAUAAGUAACAGGUCGUAGACCCGAAACCAGGUGAUCUACCCAUGUCCAGGAUGAAGGUAAGGUAAUACUUACUGGAGGUCCGAACCCACGCACGUUGAAAAGUGCGGGGAUGAGGUGUGGGUAGCGGAGAAAUUCCAAUCGAACUUGGAGAUAGCUGGUUCUCUCCGAAAUAGCUUUAGGGCUAGCCUCGAGGUAAAGAGUCAUGGAGGUAGAGCACUGUUUGGACUAGGGGCCCUUCUCGGGUUACCGAAUUCAGAUAAACUCCGAAUGCCAUGUACUUAUACUCGGGAGUCAGACUGCGAGUGAUAAGAUCCGUAGUCGAAAGGGAAACAGCCCAGACCACCAGUUAAGGUCCCCAAAUAUAUGUUAAGUGGAAAAGGAUGUGGGGUUGCUUAGACAACCAGGAUGUUGGCUUAGAAGCAGCCACCAUUGAAAGAGUGCGUAAUAGCUCACUGGUCGAGUGACCCCGCGCCGAAAAUGUACCGGGGCUAAACAUAUUACCGAAACUGUGGAUGAACCUCUUUAGAGGUUCGUGGUAGGAGAGCGUUCUAAGGGCGGUGAAGUCAGACCGGAAGGACUGGUGGAGCGCUUAGAAGUGAGAAUGCCGGUAUGAGUAGCGAAAGAAGGG